ACUUGUACCGACUGGAUGAGCAGCGAACGGGUGAGUAACGCGUGGGGAAUCUGCCUUUGAGCGGGGGACAACAUUUGGAAACGAAUGCUAAUACCGCAUAAAAACUUUAAACACAAGUUUUAAGUUUGAAAGAUGCAAUUGCAUCACUCAAAGAUGAUCCCGCGUUGUAUUAGCUAGUUGGUGAGGUAAAGGCUCACCAAGGCGAUGAUACAUAGCCGACCUGAGAGGGUGAUCGGCCACAUUGGGACUGAGACACGGCCCAAACUCCUACGGGAGGCAGCAGUAGGGAAUCUUCGGCAAUGGACGAAAGUCUGACCGAGCAACGCCGCGUGAGUGAAGAAGGUUUUCGGAUCGUAAAACUCUGUUGGUAGAGAAGAACGUUGGUGAGAGUGGAAAGCUCAUCAAGUGACGGUAACUACCCAGAAAGGGACGGCUAACUACGUGCCAGCAGCCGCGGUAAUACGUAGGUCCCGAGCGUUGUCCGGAUUUAUUGGGCGUAAAGCGAGCGCAGGUGGUUUAUUAAGUCUGGUGUAAAAGGCAGUGGCUCAACCAUUGUAUGCAUUGGAAACUGGUAGACUUGAGUGCAGGAGAGGAGAGUGGAAUUCCAUGGGUGAGCGG
This 618-nucleotide ribosomal RNA is filed under the name Lactococcus lactis. RNAcentral describes it as "bacterial SSU rRNA". It matches the Rfam family "Bacterial small subunit ribosomal RNA", at positions 73 to 681 of the family's 1533-position model. The record is from RNAcentral. Lineage: Bacteria; Bacillati; Bacillota; Bacilli; Lactobacillales; Streptococcaceae.